AAUACCCGCUCAAACAUGACCCGACCCGAACCGACCCGACCCGAACAAGGAAUUUUCGCAUUGGGUCGGGUUGGCCUUAACUUGUUUGGGUAACAGUAUAAACAAGGCUUAAGCUUGUUUUGGAUCUACCCGAACCCGUCCGAAACAAGCCCACCCAAAACAAACAAGAGCCAUUUGUUCUUCUUGCUCCAAGCCUGCCCCAAACCUUGUUUAUCGUGAUAGUGUGACGCGAUCUGUCAUCUUCUUCCAGAGCUCCGGAUCUGCAACCGAGUAGUGCGACGUAAAGGCAACUGGCGGCGACGAUCGGCGUCUUCGCCGCCGGCGCCACCCUGAUUGCGGCUGGCAUCACCAAGUCGGCGAAGUAGGGUUCUGCAGUGUUCCAGAAAUAUUCUCAUGGGUUCGUGACCAGAAGUUCUCUGUUCAACGAAGGUAAAUCUGCGAGGAAGGGAGCGAAGGAAGAAGAGAGAGGUCAGUCGAAUCGAACGUGUGCCUUGAGAUUUUGCGUUAAAAUCUCCGCCUCCGGCUUCUCCUCCCCUGUAUCGGAUCGUUUGCGGUUCUGGGUUGGUCUCGGCUUCGGCUCCCCUCAUCUGGGUUCAGGCGCUCGACCGGCGUUCAGUCUUCGGUCCGGGUGAUGGAAGUGCCAUCCUUUGUUGAAAGUCCUGUUCUUACCUUGCUGGCAUUUGCUUUUCUCUUUUCCCUCUUUGUUGCGUGAUGAAUGGAAUUAAAAGGUGUGUGAUUGUAUCGAGAGUUUUCUCAGUUCAAUUUUUUGUGUA
Long non-coding RNA from Syzygium oleosum, 773 nucleotides. RefSeq lists it as uncharacterized. Lineage: Eukaryota; Viridiplantae; Streptophyta; Magnoliopsida; Myrtales; Myrtaceae. The record is from RefSeq and is a predicted model, not a curated record. The transcript has 2 exons.